RNAcentral lists this non-coding RNA (122 nucleotides) under Bombus vosnesenskii. Its description in RNAcentral is "tRNA". It matches the Rfam family "tRNA". Rfam says of the family: Transfer RNA (tRNA) molecules are approximately 80 nucleotides in length. Their secondary structure includes four short double-helical elements and three loops (D, anti-codon, and T loops). The record is from Rfam by way of RNAcentral. Lineage: Eukaryota; Metazoa; Arthropoda; Insecta; Hymenoptera; Apidae.
GUCAGGAUGGCCGAGCGGUCUAAGGCGCCAGACUCAAGGUGUUCACCUUAUCAGUUACUAACUGAUCUCCACGUGCCUUCUGGUCUCCUCUGGAGGCGUGGGUUCGAAUCCCACUCCUGACA